GACGAACGCUGGCGGCGUGCUUAACACAUGCAAGUCGAACGGUGAAGCGCCUUCCUUUUUGGUGGGUGUGGAUGAGUGGCGAACGGGUGAGUAACACGUGAGUAACCUGCCCCCUUCUUCUGGAUAACCGCAUGAAAGUGUGGCUAAUACGGGAUAUUCUGGGUCUGUCGCAUGAUGGGUCUGGGAAAGAUAUUGUUUCGGUGGGGGAUGGGCUCGCGGCCUAUCAGCUUGUUGGUGGGGUGAUGGCCUACCAAGGCGGUGACGGGUAGCCGGCCUGAGAGGGUGGACGGUCGCACGGGGACUGAGACACGGCCCAGACUCCUACGGGAGGCAGCAGUGGGGAAUAUUGCACAAUGGGCGCAAGCCUGAUGCAGCGACGCCGCGUGAGGGAUGGAGGCCUUCGGGUUGUGAACCUCUUUCGCCAGUGAAGCAUGCCUGCCUCGUUUGUGGGUGGGUUGACGGUAGCUGGAGAAGAAGCGCCGGCUAACUACGUG
This 494-nucleotide ribosomal RNA is filed under the name uncultured bacterium. RNAcentral's name for it is "partial 16S ribosomal RNA". It matches the Rfam family "Bacterial small subunit ribosomal RNA", at positions 28 to 507 of the family's 1533-position model. The record is from RNAcentral.